GGAAAGGAUUUAGAGAGGAAAAGAAUCACUAACCUACAACAUUCAUAAAAGACAUACAUAUUAAAUAUAUACUUUCUUUCAUUGUUUCGGGCUGCUCGGAAUCCGAAUUCCUCAAAGUUUUUUCCGAAGUUGGUGGUGAAGUCCUCUGUAGCUCGUUGUUCUCGGUGUGCUACCCUGGAAAAGAGCGCACUUGAAGACCCAGAAGAAAUACUUGGAAGAAGCCAAA
This 226-nucleotide unclassified non-coding RNA is filed under the name Hevea brasiliensis (rubber tree). The record is from RNAcentral. Lineage: Eukaryota; Viridiplantae; Streptophyta; Magnoliopsida; Malpighiales; Euphorbiaceae.